RNAcentral lists this ribosomal RNA (373 nucleotides) under uncultured soil bacterium. RNAcentral describes it as "bacterial SSU rRNA". It matches the Rfam family "Bacterial small subunit ribosomal RNA", at positions 26 to 420 of the family's 1533-position model. The record is from RNAcentral.
AGAACGAACGCUGGCGGCAGGCUUAACACAUGCAAGUCGAACGGUUGUAGCAAUACAGCAGUGGCAGACGGGUGAGUAACACGUGGGAACCUUCCUAGGGGUACGGAACAACUCAGGGAAACUUGAGCUAAUACCGUAUACGUCCGUAAGGAGAAAGAUUCAUCGCCCCUAGACGGGCCCGCGUAGGAUUAGGUAGUUGGUGAGGUAACGCUCACCAAGCCUACGAUCCUUAGCUGAUCUGAGAGGAUGAUCAGCCACACUGGGACUGAGACACGGCCCAGACUCCUACGGGAGGCAGCAGUGGGGAAAUCUUGGACAAGUGGGCGCGAAGCCUUGAUCCAGCCAGUGCCGCGUGAGUGAAGGAAGGCCGUUA